RNAcentral lists this ribosomal RNA (253 nucleotides) under uncultured bacterium. RNAcentral describes it as "partial 16S ribosomal RNA". It matches the Rfam family "Bacterial small subunit ribosomal RNA", at positions 524 to 776 of the family's 1533-position model. The record is from RNAcentral.
UACGUAGGGUGCAAGCGUUACUCGGAAUUACUGGGCGUAAAGCGUGCGCAGGCGGUUGUGCAAGACAGAUGUGAAAUCCCCGGGCUUAACCUGGGAAUUGCAUUUGUGACUGCACGGCUAGAGUGUGUCAGAGGGGGGUAGAAUUCCACGUGUAGCAGUGAAAUGCGUAGAUAUGUGGAGGAAAACCGAUGGCGAAGGCAGCCCCCUGGGAUAACACUGACGCUCAUGCACGAAAGCGUGGGGAGCAAACAGG